UGAAGAUAAAAUAAAAUUCUGCAAAGAAUCUGAGAGUUUUUAAUGUCCUCUUGGCUUAAAAUGAGUUGGAAUUGUUUGGUGGUAAUUUUUCUUUCUUUUAUCCUUAAACAUAUUAAAGAGAAAAAUGAAAAUAACUUAUUUUGAAUAUCUAAAUGCUCCUUUUACAAAAGGGGACGCUUUAGAACGCUUGUCUAGAAAAAGAAGUGAGCUGAAACAUUGUGCUAAUGGGAUUUGCAGCAUAAAAUAUGGCUAAUUUCUCUUGUAUGACUACAGGUGGCAGUGUAGAAGCCAAGAACAAAAAUUGGCAGAAAUUGUGUUCUGUGUACGAGAAUAUGAAGAGUGUACUCAUGACUAAGCACAGGAACCUGGAAAACCACAGGGGUUCCUGCCACCUGCCUCUGUGUGCCACUCCCCUCUUCCUCAUGGCAGCAGCAGCCCCUGGGACUUGCUGAAAACCCCUGGAGGGAGGGGGUUCCCUGCUUUGAACCCUGGUCCAGAGGAGCUGCUGGGCUCUGCAGGCAGCCUCCUUUUACAGUUUUGAAGUAGCCAACACCCCACUAACGUGCCAUACUCUGGAAACAUCUCAUCUCUGAAGCUCUCCUGGUCACAAGAGUGGGAAGGUGUGACUGACAGGGCCAUGAGGACAGAGAAGGGUCUCCUGGCUGAGGGAUCAGGUGGUGUGAGAG
Molecule: long non-coding RNA, 686 nt
Filed under: Parus major (Great Tit)
Lineage: Eukaryota; Metazoa; Chordata; Aves; Passeriformes; Paridae
Description: lncRNA (ENSPMJG00000010802.1)
Source: RNAcentral